This 381-nucleotide ribosomal RNA is filed under the name uncultured soil bacterium. RNAcentral's name for it is "bacterial SSU rRNA". It matches the Rfam family "Bacterial small subunit ribosomal RNA", at positions 26 to 394 of the family's 1533-position model. The record is from RNAcentral.
AGAUUGAACGCUGGCGGAAUGCUUUACACAUGCAAGUCGAACGGCAGCACGGGACUCAGGCAACUGAGCCCUGGUGGCGAGUGGCGAACGGGUGAGUAACAUAUCGGAACGUACCCAGUCGUGGGGGAUAACUCUCCGAAAGGAGAGCUAAUACCGCAUACGUCCUGAGGGAGAAAGCGGGGGACCUGCAAGGGCCUCGCGCGAUUGGAGCGGCCAUAUCGGAUUAGCUUAGUUGGUGGGGUAAAGGCUCACCAAGGCGACGAUCCGUAGCGGGUCUGAGAGGACGACCGCACACUGGACUGAGACACGGUCCAGACUCCUACGGGAGGCCAGCGAGUGGGAUUUUAGGACCAAGUGGGGGCAACCUGACGUCCAGGCCUA